GCCCGCGUUGUCUAAUGGUUAUGACGUCAGACUUCUACCAAGCCGUGCUGAUCUGGAGGUUGCGGGUUCGAGUCCCGCCGUGGGUU
Molecule: non-coding RNA, 86 nt
Organism: Paramarasmius palmivorus
Lineage: Eukaryota; Fungi; Basidiomycota; Agaricomycetes; Agaricales; Marasmiaceae
Source: the annotation of a GenBank genome assembly